Molecule: long non-coding RNA, 284 nt
Filed under: Gossypium barbadense (sea-island cotton)
Lineage: Eukaryota; Viridiplantae; Streptophyta; Magnoliopsida; Malvales; Malvaceae
Description: long non-coding RNA (GBAR_LNC015456)
Source: RNAcentral
AAAAUAUGCAAUCAUUUUAAAUAACAGUUUUAUAAACUUCGAUUGUUACUAGGCCAUUUCAGUGGCCAAUGUAAUUUUCUGAAUUGGGUCUUAACGUCUAGGUCGAGUUGGGGAGGUUACAUUUGAUGAUAUCAGAGCCACAAGUUUUUCAAAACUCAGACUGUGAAAUUUUGAAUGUGUCUGCAUGCAUGUUUUAAAAAGGGGUAUUUUAGGAAAAAUCAUGCCACAAACUUUUGAAAAAUGAUAUUCUUCUAAAAGAAAUUAAAUCCAAGACUUCGAUGCCG